This 473-nucleotide ribosomal RNA is filed under the name uncultured bacterium. RNAcentral's name for it is "bacterial SSU rRNA". It matches the Rfam family "Bacterial small subunit ribosomal RNA", at positions 335 to 798 of the family's 1533-position model. The record is from RNAcentral.
ACUCCUACGGGAGGCAGCAGUGGGGAAUAUUGCACAAUGGGCGCAAGCCUGAUGCAGCCAUGCCGCGUGUAUGAAGAAGGCCUUCGGGUUGUAAAGUACUUUCAGCAGUGAGGAAGGUGGAUAUGUUAAUAGCAUAUUCAUUUGACGUUAGCUGCAGAAGAAGCACCGGCUAACUCCGUGCCAGCAGCCGCGGUAAUACGGAGGGUGCGAGCGUUAAUCGGAAUUACUGGGCGUAAAGCGCAUGCAGGUGGUUUUGUUAAGUCAGAUGUGAAAGCCCGGGGCUCAACCUCGGAAUUGCAUUUGAAACUGGCAAACUAGAGUACUGUAGAGGGGGGUAGAAUUUCAGGUGUAGCGGUGAAAUGCGUAGAGAUCUGAAGGAAUACCGGUGGCGAAGGCGGCCCCCUGGACAGAUACUGACACUCAGAUGCGAAAGCGUGGGGAGCAAACAGGAUUAGAUACCCUGGUAGGUCUGC